CCUACGGGUGGCAGCAGUGAGGAAUAUUGGUCAAUGGCCGAGAGGCUGAACCAGCCAAGUCGCGUGAGGGAAGACGGCACUACGGGUUGUAAACCUCUUUUGUCGGGGAGCACAGCGCACCACGUGUGGUUCAUUGAGAGUACCCGAAGAAAAAGCAUCGGCUCACUCCGUGCCAGCAGCCGCGGUACUCCGGGGGAUUCGAACUUUAUCCGGAUUUAUUGGGUUUAAAGGGUGCUCAGGCGGAGGUGCAAGUCAGCGGUCAAAUUGCGGGGCUCAACCCCGUACUGCCGUUGACACUGCAUCCCUUGAGUGCGCGAGAAGUAGGCGGAAUGCGUGGUGUAGCGGUGAAAUGCAUAGAUAUCACGCAGAACUCCGAUUGCGAAGGCAGCAUACCGGCGCGCAACUGACGCUCAUGCACGAAAGCGUGGGUAUCGAACAGGAUUAGAUACCCUUGUAGUC
Molecule: ribosomal RNA, 459 nt
Filed under: uncultured bacterium
Lineage: Bacteria
Description: partial 16S ribosomal RNA
Rfam family: Bacterial small subunit ribosomal RNA
Source: RNAcentral